CCUACGGGAGGCAGCAGUGAGGAAUAUUGGUCAAUGGACGAGAGUCUGAACCAGCCAAGUAGCGUGAAGGAUGACUGCCCUAUGGGUUGUAAACUUCUUUUAUAUGGGAAUAAAAUGUUCCACGUGUGGGUUUUUGUAUGUACCAUAUGAAUAAGGAUCGGCUAACUCCGUGCCAGCAGCCGCGGUAAUACGGAGGAUCCGAGCGUUAUCCGGAUUUAUUGGGUUUAAAGGGAGCGUAGGUGGAUUGUUAAGUCAGUUGUGAAAGUUUGCGGCUCAACCGUAAAAUUGCAGUUGAAACUGGCAGUCUUGAGUACAGUAGAGGUGGGCGGAAUUCGUGGUGUAGCGGUGAAAUGCUUAGAUAUCACGAAGAACUCCGAUUGCGAAGGCAGCUCACUGGACUGCAACUGACACGGAGGCUCGAAAGUGUGGGUAUCAAACAGGAUUAGAUACCCCAGUAGUC
Molecule: ribosomal RNA, 460 nt
Filed under: uncultured bacterium
Lineage: Bacteria
Description: partial 16S ribosomal RNA
Rfam family: Bacterial small subunit ribosomal RNA
Source: RNAcentral